GCUGGGGGAGGUGGCCCAUGCCUGUAAUCCCAGUGGCUCAGGAGGCUGAGGCAGGAGGAUCAUGAGUUCAAAGCCAGCCUCAGCAACAGCAAGGCGCUAAGCAACUCAGUGAGACCCUGUCUCUC
This 125-nucleotide small RNA is filed under the name Marmota monax (woodchuck). The record is from RNAcentral. Lineage: Eukaryota; Metazoa; Chordata; Mammalia; Rodentia; Sciuridae.